CGGUAAUUCCAGCUCCAAUAGCGUAUACUAAAGUUGUUGCAGUUAAAAAGCUCGUAGUUGGAUUUCUGCGGGGACGGAGCGGCCGGACGCAACUUGCGUCUCGAGCUAGCGCUUUCCCCGCAUCCUGCCGCGAACCGUGCUACCAUUAGCUUGGUGGCGCUGGGGAUCGGCUCGAUUACUUUGAGAAAAAUAGAGUGUUCAAAGCAGGCCACACGCCUUGAAUAAGUUAGCAUGGAAUAAUGACUAAGGACUUCGGUUCUAUUUUGUUGGUGUUCGGGACUGAAGUAAUGACUGAUAGGGACAGUUGGGGCGGUCUGUAUUCCAAAGCGAGAGGUGAAAUUCUUAGACCUUCGGAAGACAAACAGCUGCGAAAGCGUUCCGCAAGGAUGUUCCCUUUGAUCAAGAACGAAAGUUGGGGGAUCGAAGACGGUCAGAUACCGUCGUAGUCUCAACUAUAAACUAUACCAGCUAGGGAUCGGUCAACGUUUAAUCAUUCGACUUGAUCGGCACCUUAUGAGAAAUCAAAGCAUCUGGGUUCCGGGGGGAGUAUGGUCGCAAGGCUGAAACUUAAAGGAAUUGACGGAAGGGCACCACCAGCCGUGGAGCCUGUGGCUUAAUUUGACUCAACACGGGAAAACUUACCAGGUCCAGACAUAGUAAGGAUUGACAGAUUGAUAGCUCUUUCUUGAUUCUGUGGGUGGUGGUGCAUGGCCGUUCUUAGUUGGUGGAGUGAUUUGUCUGGUUAAUUCCGUUAACGAACGAGACCCCAGCCUGCUAAAUAGCGCGGCUGAGCUUCGCUCGGUGCGAGCUUCUUGGAGGGACUAUGAUGCGCGAUAGCACAUGGAAGUUUGGGGCAAUAACAGGUCUGUGAUGCCCUUAGAUGUUCUGGGCCGCACACGGGCUACACUGGCGCCUGCAACGAGCAUAUCAGCUGGCCCGAGAGGGUCUUGGCAAAUCUUUUGAACCGGCGCCGUGCUUGGGAUUGACCAUUGCAAUUGUUGGUCAUGCAACGAGGAAUGCCUUGUAAACGCGAGUCAUCAGCUCGCAUUGAAUACGUCCCUGCCCUUUGUACACACCGCCCGUCGCUCCUACCGAUGAAUGUUCCGAUGAAAUUUUCGGAGAGCGCCAGAGAACGGGGCUCCGCCUUGCAGAUCUGGAGGCUCAAAGUCACUUAAAUCUGAACAUUUCGAGGAAGGAGAAGUCGUAACAAGGUAGCCG
RNAcentral lists this ribosomal RNA (1218 nucleotides) under uncultured Rhizaria. RNAcentral describes it as "SSU rRNA". It matches the Rfam family "Eukaryotic small subunit ribosomal RNA", at positions 577 to 1805 of the family's 1831-position model. The record is from RNAcentral.